UUAAAUUGAAGAGUUUGAUCAUGGCUCAGAUUGAACGCUGGCGGCAGGCCUAACACAUGCAAGUCGAACGGUAACAGGAAG
Molecule: ribosomal RNA, 81 nt
Filed under: Escherichia coli
Lineage: Bacteria; Pseudomonadati; Pseudomonadota; Gammaproteobacteria; Enterobacterales; Enterobacteriaceae
Also listed under: 60 other names
Description: partial 16S ribosomal RNA
Rfam family: Bacterial small subunit ribosomal RNA
Source: RNAcentral